This 500-nucleotide ribosomal RNA is filed under the name uncultured bacterium. Its description in RNAcentral is "partial 16S ribosomal RNA". It matches the Rfam family "Bacterial small subunit ribosomal RNA", at positions 30 to 523 of the family's 1533-position model. The record is from RNAcentral.
AUUGAACGCUGGCGGAAUGCUUUACACAUGCAAGUCGAACGGCAGCACGGACUUCGGUCUGGUGGCGAGUGGCGAACGGGUGAGUAAUAUAUCGGAACGUAUCCAAUAAUGGGGGAUAACUAAUCGAAAGGUUGGCUAAUACCGCAUACGUCCUACGGGAGAAAGCUAGGGACCUUCGGGCCUGGCGUUAAUGGAGCGGCCGAUAUCGGAUUAGCUAGUUGGUGAGGUAAAGGCUCACCAAGGCGACGAUCCGUAGCUGGUCUGAGAGGACGACCAGCAAGACUGGAACUGAGACACGGUCCAGACUCCUACGGGAGGCAGCAGUGGGGAAUUUUGGACAAUGGGCGAAAGCCUGAUCCAGCCAUUCCGCGUGAGUGAAGAAGGCCUUCGGGUUGUAAAGCUCUUUCGCAAGAGAAGAAAACUUACCCUCUAACAUAGGGUGAGGUUGACGGUAUCUUGAUAAGAAGCACCGGCUAACUACGUGCCAGCAGCCGCAGUAA